UAAUACAGAGGCCACAAGCGUUAGUCGGAAUCACUGGGCUUAAAGGGUGCGUAGGCGGGCUCGCAAGCGUCUUGUGAAAUCCCAUGGCUCAACCAUGGAAUUGCAGGGCGAACUGCGAGUCUUGAGGCAGGUAGGGGCCGGAAGAACAGUAGGUGGAGCGGUGAAAUGCGUAGAUAUCUACUGGAAUGCCGAUGGGGAAGCCGUCCGGCUGGGCCUGUCCUGACGCUGAGGCACGAAAGCGUGGGGAGCAAACAGG
RNAcentral lists this ribosomal RNA (256 nucleotides) under uncultured bacterium. Its description in RNAcentral is "partial 16S ribosomal RNA". It matches the Rfam family "Bacterial small subunit ribosomal RNA", at positions 521 to 776 of the family's 1533-position model. The record is from RNAcentral.